ACUAGGAGCUAGAUAAGUCUUACGGGUCUCAAACGAAAUUUGAGAGAAAAUGACUCACAAAUUCGGUAGCAAUUCAUUAACAAUAUGCCAAAAGUUCCUUUUACAAUGAAAAUGAACAACUAUUUAUAGUGUUCAACUAGGUAGCCGAAUGGUCACCUUCAUGGCUAAGUAAAUUGAACUAGAAUGAGCUGGAAAAUUCCAGAAUUAAACAUUGAAUUGCUGUAGCUAAAUUUAGCUGAUUGAAGUCCAAUAGGUAGCUUCUAGAAUAAGCAAAUGAACUUGGAGAGUUUGGAAAGGUGCAUGGCAGCAGCUAGGUUCAGCCAACGAGCUUAAUGAGCUCAUUA
Molecule: long non-coding RNA, 344 nt
Filed under: Gossypium raimondii (Peruvian cotton)
Lineage: Eukaryota; Viridiplantae; Streptophyta; Magnoliopsida; Malvales; Malvaceae
Description: long non-coding RNA (GRAI_LNC001986)
Source: RNAcentral